AAACCAGAAAAAGAAAUAAAGAGGAAUUUAGAGAGUACGAGACGUACCCUUGGCUAUCAAUUUUGUAUGCGCGUGUAUUCGUGCAAUUUUAUGUGAUCGAUCCUGAAGGCGGAUUUCCAACACAGGAUUCAUAACCGGUGUGGAAAAAUUGGUCAGGGAAGGCAGCGGCUCGACUCCCUACAUCGUGCGGGCGAAAGCAGCAGAAAACGACGACGUUGGAAAAGAACCACUGACGGGCACCUGCGCUGACAUGGAUGCCCUGCAUGUUGAGAUAAAUUCUAUAGUGGAAAUGAAUCACUUAGGUAUUGAGAAACAGUAUAAUGAAGCUACCUAUGAGCCCUCUCAGCGAUUAGAGGUCGUCAGCCAUCGAUCAUAUUUACGGACGGACAGAUCUUCCUGUCUCUACCCAGCGCAGAAUUAGUUCGGUCAUCCCGCAACACAGUCUCGCGGGCCGCUGCUCCGGGGAUUGAGCUACGGUCCCGGGCCUAAGAUAGAAGGCCCAGGUCCAGACCAACACAGAAGCGCGUCGCCCAGGUUUUCCGUCGGCAGCGCUAUCCCUAUCCACGAGCUGCUCGAUUAGAGGUCGUCAGCCAUCGAUCAUAUUUACGGACGGACAGAUCUUCCUGUCUCUACCCAGCGCAGAAUUAGUUCGGUCGUCCCGCAACACAGUCUCGCGGGCCGCUGCUCCGGGGAUUGAGCUACGGUCUCCGUCCGUAACCGGGCCUAAGAUAGAAGGCCCAGGUCCAGACCAACACAGGAGCGCGUCGCCCAGGUUUUCCGUCGGCAGCGCUAUCACUAUCCACGAGCUGCUCCUCUUCUUCGUUCAGUUUUAAAAAAAGGCUGCUUCUCUGUUCCUCGACGCUGCGCCGCCGCUGUCCUCCGUCCUGACGGCGAGCUUCUACAGCAGGGAUCAUGAUGGCAGAGACGACGGGCGGCAGAGCAAUGUCGACUGUGGCGGUGGGUGAUGAGCAGUAGUUGUACGCGGUGGCAGCGUCAACAGCUUCAUGGUGCGAAGGAGGAGCACCUGAUCCAAUCCUCGCUACCUUUAUUGUUCUGUCUAAAGAUUUGUUAUCCAAUAGCACGCUCCAAGUUAUCUUCCAAGAGAUGUCAGCAAUCCCCAAAUUAUCUGUGUAUUCCAGAUCAACGGUGCGGCAGCAGGCCAGGCGCCACGGCGGUCGGAUGACAAGAGCAAGCCAACCAAGGUGAUGAACAGUGCGACGAAGGCGGCGGCGUCGCCUGCUGUCGAGUAUACUGGCAUGGCCAUAGAGCUCGAUAAAAUGAUCCAAGAUGACCAGAAGGUCCAGGGUGCAGGACAACUAGAAGGUCAAGGGCACAGAUGAUGCCUGCCAUCUCCGGCAACAUGAUGGUGCACAACAACCUAGGCAACCUCAACGUUUGCGCGUCGGCCAGCAGCUCGCUGGAUUGCAACACCAAGACGGCGACCGUAGGUCUCUUUUACUCCGUGUAUUUUCUGUUUUGCAUAAUCUAUCCAUGCAGGGACGGACCCAGAACAAAAAUGUCCCGGUGUCCACAUGUACACUAUACGUAGAUGGAUAAGAAGCAAUAAUAUACAUAAAAGUAAUACACUCAACAAUUUUAAAAUAUUCAACUGUAAGAAUUCUUAUCAAAAUAAACCAUUUCACUUGAAAAACUAGUUGAUUAUGUAAAGUUGAAUAAUAUAUAGAGUUUAAUAACACGAAACGACAAAACAAAUAUGAUCAGCGACGUCUGCAUAAGUCAAUAGAAACAUGUUACAUCAUUUGUGUUUACAGAUGCAUGAAUAGAAACAAGAAAUAAAUCAUAUUGAUAAAAGCAUACAGUUACGAGGUUAAACUUACUACAUUUUAUCUUAAAUUGUCAUUGGGCGCAGUCAACAAAUUCCAAAUUGAUGUGAAUUAGUAGGGAAAAUUAUGAAAUCGUAGUAAUCCAAUUCCCAAUUAUAAUAUAUUUAAUCUUGAAACCCUAACCAUACAAUUUAUAGACAUAAAAAAAUUAGACAAAACUAAAGAUAAGUACACGUACUUGAGCGAGAUCGACGACCGUACCUAUUUCCUUCUAUUAUUUCUUGUCUGCAAAGGGUGAGGGCCACAACAGGCUGCCGGCGGCAGGAUCUGGCUUCCGGAGCACUAGAACCGGCGGCGGAUGCCAUCACACCGUAUCGCUAUGGAGGGGAAAAGGAACAGCCGAACAUACGCACGUAGGUACCCACUACAACAAAAUAUGCAUGUAGAGACGUCAGAUUUGUAAGCUAGAGACACGUUAUUUCAUCUCAAAUGGAAUGUAGAGCCACUUUUGUAAAGCGUCCUUGGAGCGUCUCCUCACGAACCGUGUCAAGUGACAUUGAGACGUUUGCAAAGCGUGUCUAUAGGAAAUGAGACGCUUUAUAGGGACGUUCAAUUCAUGUCUAUGUUAGUAGAGACGUCUUAGUAGACACACCUUACACCACGUCUCUACUAAUAUCGAGACGUUCUGUAGGGAUGUUAUAAACGUGUCUAGAUGCAGAAAAUGUCAUUUUUGUACUCCCAUUUGCAUUUCAAAUUUGAUUGAAAAAUGUAAUUCGAGUCUUGUUAAUGCACACACACAUGGUC
Triticum aestivum (bread wheat) is the source of this 2588-nucleotide long non-coding RNA. RefSeq lists it as uncharacterized. The transcript is spliced from 3 exons. The record is from RefSeq and is a predicted model, not a curated record. Lineage: Eukaryota; Viridiplantae; Streptophyta; Magnoliopsida; Poales; Poaceae.